UUCACUUGAGUGUAGUCGGGGACGGCGGAAUGAGUUGUGUAGCGGUGAAAUGCAUAGAUAUAACUCAGAACACCGAUUGCGAAGGCAGCUGUUUAGGCUACAACUGACACUGAGGCACGAAAGCGUGGGGAGCGAACAGGAUUAGAUACCCUGGUAGUCCACGCAGUAAACGAUGAUCACUCGUUGCUGGCUACGAAGUAGUCAGUGACAAAGGGAAACCAUUAAGUGAUCCACCUGGGGAGUACGUCGGCAACGAUGAAACUCAAAGGAAUUGACGGGGGCCCGCACAAGCGGAGGAACAUGUGGUUUAAUUCGAUGAUACGCGAGGAACCUUACCUGGGCUUAAAUGCAGAUUGUAUUUCCGUGAAAACGGAAUUUCCUACGGGACUGAUUGCAGGUGCUGCAUGGUUGUCGUCAGCUCGUGCCGUGAGGUGUCGGGUUAAGUCCCAUAACGAGCGCAACCCCUAUCGUUAGUUGCCAGCAUGUAAAGGUGGGGACUCUAACGAGACUGCCGGUGUAAACCGGAGGAAGGUGGGGAUGACGUCAAAUCAGCACGGCCCUUACGUCCAGGGCUACACACGUGUUACAAUGGCCGGUACAAAGAGCAGCCACCUGGCGACAGGGUGCUAAUCUUGAAAGCCGGUCUUAGUUCGGAUCGAAGUCUGCAAUUCGACUUCGUGAAGGUGGAUUCGCUAGUA
This 698-nucleotide ribosomal RNA is filed under the name uncultured bacterium. RNAcentral's name for it is "bacterial SSU rRNA". It matches the Rfam family "Bacterial small subunit ribosomal RNA", at positions 637 to 1340 of the family's 1533-position model. The record is from RNAcentral.